GCACUCCCUUUUCUUCUCCAUGCAGCAGCCUGGAUUCAUUCCCUGCACCGGCCAAGGGGGAGGAAGGAGCCACGGCUGCCCCCUGAUGCUGCCUGUCCUGGAGGUGCUGGGCUGGAAGACACCCCCUCCUCCUGGAGGGACUUAAGCCAGAGCAUCCCUGUGAGCACGGAACACUACGUCUGUCUCCAUCGGGAUGCAGACACCAGGCUGAGCUCAGGGUCUAGCUUGUGCUGCCCCACAGAUCCUGGGGACAGCCUCAGGGGAGGCUGCCCUUCACUCUGUCCUGUGUGUCCCAUGGAUGAUGCUGGCUGUGUCCGCUGUUCCAGUCUCAGGGAUGCAGGAAAAUUUCCCCACAUGGAUGGGGGCAGGAAUAGAUGUGUACAGCUGUGGUGCAGAGGCAGGACAGCAUCCAUCACGGAAGGAGGCUGUGGUGGCCUCAUAAUGGAGGUGGUAAUCUGAUCUGGCCGUUCCCAACCCAUGACCAGUUUUUGCUGGGCUGCAAACAGGAUUUGGGGGAGAUGGCUUUGAAGGAGGCAGAGCUGAUGGACCCCAGAGGGUACCAGCACGGGGGAGGCUCGGAGCCCCUGGCAGGUCUGUGCCCCAGCCGGGAUGCCUCAGAGCCGCAGCACCAAGCCCCAAGCCAAAGCUCCCCUCCCCAGCACAGCUGGGCUACAAGGGACCAAGGCACUGCUGCAUCAAUUUCUCUUUUCAGUCUCACUAUGCAGAUGAAUGGGUUGCUUAAAAUAAAAGUCCCCAUCACACCUAAAUAA
RNAcentral lists this long non-coding RNA (770 nucleotides) under Falco tinnunculus (common kestrel). RNAcentral's name for it is "lncRNA (ENSFTIG00000010674.1)". Lineage: Eukaryota; Metazoa; Chordata; Aves; Falconiformes; Falconidae. The record is from RNAcentral.